GAUGAACGCUGGCGGCGUGCCUAAUACAUGCAAGUCGAGCGAACAGAUGAGGAGCUUGCUCCUCUGACGUUAGCGGCGGACGGGUGAGUAACACGUGGAUAACCUACCUAUAAGACUGGGAUAACUUCGGGAAACCGGAGCUAAUACCGGAUAAUAUAUUGAACCGCAUGGUUCAAUAGUGAAACACGGUUUUGCUGUCCCUUAUAGAUGGAUCCGCGCCGCAUUAGCUAGUUGGUAAGGUAACGGCUUACCAAGGCAACGAUGCGUAGCCGACCUGAGAGGGUGAUCGGCCACACUGGAACUGAGACACGGUCCAGACUCCUACGGGAGGCAGCAGUAGGGAAUCUUCCGCAAUGGGCGAAAGCCUGACGGAGCAACGCCGCGUGAGUGAUGAAGGUCUUCGGAUCGUAAAACUCUGUUAUUAGGGAAGAACAAAUGUGUAAGUAACUAUGCACGUCUUGACGGUACCUAAUCAGAAAGCCACGGCUAACUACGUG
Molecule: ribosomal RNA, 497 nt
Filed under: uncultured bacterium
Lineage: Bacteria
Description: partial 16S ribosomal RNA
Rfam family: Bacterial small subunit ribosomal RNA
Source: RNAcentral